Molecule: transfer RNA, 73 nt
Filed under: Paenibacillus sp. P26
Lineage: Bacteria; Bacillati; Bacillota; Bacilli; Caryophanales; Paenibacillaceae
Also listed under: 1 other name
Description: tRNA-Lys
Rfam family: tRNA
About the family: Transfer RNA (tRNA) molecules are approximately 80 nucleotides in length. Their secondary structure includes four short double-helical elements and three loops (D, anti-codon, and T loops).
Source: RNAcentral
GGGCUCGUAAUUUAACGGUAAAAUACCCGACUCUUCAUCGGUGAUAGUGGAGGUUCGAGUCCUUCCGGGCCCA